Molecule: long non-coding RNA, 1366 nt
Organism: Clupea harengus (Atlantic herring)
Lineage: Eukaryota; Metazoa; Chordata; Actinopteri; Clupeiformes; Clupeidae
Source: Ensembl
CCUUAAAGCCUCUGCAGUUCACUUGUGUGUUUCUGAAGAUAUGCUUAAGAACUAAGAGUCUCCUCCCAUCUGUCUCGACUUACUGUUAGACUGUCAGCCAAUUGACAAGGACCAUUAAAAAGUAAUGAAGAAACAGACGGCCACACGGUGCGGUUAUUAAAAGAGAAACACCUCCUUAUGUCCUAAAUAUAAUAAAUAUAAAUAAUAGAAAACAAUACAUCUGCCAGCAGAACAACACACAAAGCAAAUGAGAAGAGUCAGCUCUUUCAGCGUACAAGGAAAAUGGCCCUGUCUUUCUGUAUUUGUCGAUUGGAAUCAAUAGAUGACUGCACUGUCACAUCAUUUCCCCCCCGCAUCUCAGACACAGCUGUUCUUCUCAGACAUACGCAAGCGACAGAAAGAACAUUUUAAUGUAAAAACCACAGGCUGUGAUAAAUACUGAUGAAAAUGUCUUUCUAACUUUUUUCAUGGAAUGCCCAGAAAUGUGAUACAUGGCCAUAGAAAGCAAAAGAGGCAUUUGUUUGUACACAGUGUUCACUGAUUUCAUUGACAUGUCCAUUUGAUACGGUUGUGUUGUUAUCUACACAUACUGCCCUUGUAGAGGGUAAGGAGACACUUUUGGACUGUUUUUCUGUUGUGUAGCCAAAUACAUUCAGACACGCGAUGGAUCAUGAUCAAUGUGGAGGUGAAAGGCUAUUUGAUGUCCCUGAAGAUAAGUCAGAAUUGUUAUAAUAUUAAUAAUAUUAUAUUAUAUUAUUGCCUACUAAACCUUUUGAAAAGCACAGUUCUAUAUUCCCAUUUGCUAAUCCUAGUCUAGCCUAUAGUCCAGUCUGUUAGGUCCCUGGACGUUCCUCAGACACGUUCCUUUUGUCUGAGCGGAGCCGUGGCGAAGAGAGAUGGAGAGAUGAGAUGAAAGAGAAUCACCAUUCUGAGAUCUGAAAACUGUCUUGUGUGGUUUGUGUCCUGCACUGUGUUCAGAGAUGAAAUGCAGAAAAGAGAGAAGAUGAAAUGCAUCAGUCCUAGCUCUGUUGUGUGCAUUGUCAGGGAAGGAGAAGCAUUCAUGUCAGUGGGUAGUUAGGAAAAUCCUAAAACAGAUUGAUCUGGGGCAAAGUGUGUGAUAAGAUACACUGAUGAUAAUGAAUUAUUGAUUAUGUGAUUGAUUGAUUAUUGAUUUUCUUUCUACAAAAUUGAUCUGGUCAGGUAAGGAAUCUAUAAUAAUCUAUGAAUUCUGAGGACACUUCACAGCUGGGUUUGUGUGAGAGUGCACAUGGGACUGUAAGGUUCACAAACACACACAAACACACACACACACACACACACACACACACACACACACACACAAACACACACACGGAGUGCACAUGGG